CUCUGCUCUUGCACGCUUAGUUGAUUCCUCUUUGAAAUCAUCUUUUAAUUUCUCCAUGUCAGUCUUCAUUUUCUCAUUCACUGCCAUCAAAUCUUCAUGCUGACCCUUAGUAUGAACUAGGUCCCACUCUGUGUUUCCAUGUUUUGAGUCAAGUUCUUGGAUCUCUGCAUCCUUCUGCUCCAUCGAAGUGUGAUGCAUCUCAACCAACUCAUUCAGUGCCUCAACAUUAUCAUGUAACUCUAUGUUACGG
RNAcentral lists this long non-coding RNA (250 nucleotides) under Panax ginseng (ginseng). RNAcentral's name for it is "long non-coding RNA (PGIN_LNC003779)". The record is from RNAcentral. Lineage: Eukaryota; Viridiplantae; Streptophyta; Magnoliopsida; Apiales; Araliaceae.